GACGAACGCUGGCGGCGUGCUUAACACAUGCAAGUCGAACGGAAAGGCCCUGCUUUUGUGGGGUGCUCGAGUGGCGAACGGGUGAGUAACACGUGAGUAACCUGCCCUUGACUUUGGGAUAACUUCAGGAAACUGGGGCUAAUACCGGAUAGGAGCUCCUGCUGCAUGGUGGGGGUUGGAAAGUUUCGGCGGUUGGGGAUGGACUCGCGGCUUAUCAGCUUGUUGGUGGGGUAGUGGCUUACCAAGGCUUUGACGGGUAGCCGGCCUGAGAGGGUGACCGGCCACAUUGGGACUGAGACACGGCCCAGACUCCUACGGGAGGCAGCAGUGGGGAAUAUUGCACAAUGGGCGGAAGCCUGAUGCAGCAACGCCGCGUGCGGGAUGACGGCCUUCGGGUUGUAAACCGCUUUCGCCUGUGACGAAGCGUGAGUGACGGUAAUGGGUAAAGAUGCACCGGCUAACUACGUG
This 468-nucleotide ribosomal RNA is filed under the name uncultured bacterium. RNAcentral's name for it is "partial 16S ribosomal RNA". It matches the Rfam family "Bacterial small subunit ribosomal RNA", at positions 28 to 507 of the family's 1533-position model. The record is from RNAcentral.